Alligator mississippiensis (American alligator) is the source of this 5633-nucleotide long non-coding RNA. RefSeq lists it as uncharacterized. NCBI's taxonomy places the organism in Eukaryota, Metazoa, Chordata, Crocodylia, Alligatoridae. The record is from RefSeq and is a predicted model, not a curated record. The transcript is spliced from 2 exons.
UUUCACCCUUAAAAUGUCAACAAUUUAUUUUCAAAUAUUUUUUUUUAAGGAUAAAGUAGUUUCCACAGUUUUUGGCUCUACACUAAGCUGCUUCAAGAAAGGUGCCUUCUGUGGUCACAGGCUGAAAUGUCAGGUUUCCAGCUUUGGGGGGUUUUUUCCAACUCAAUGUGCAACCUCUGAGUCUUCUGCCAGGUUCUUAUAAUGAAAGACUUAAUAUCAAAUCCAAUCAAAUCUUUAACAUGAUUUUAGCAAAUGCAUGCUUUUAACAUUGUUCUGCAGGUCUUUGAAAAAAAAUCUUUUCCAGUAAAGUUUAGAGACAUCUAAGUUUAAUGUUGACUGUAGCAUACUAAAAAUAGGAUAUUUCCUAUCUCUACUGUUUAUUGACCUAGAUGUCCUGAAACUUUUAAAUAGUUUAGGUGGAAUGUUGUGUUUACUUGACAAGACUAAACGGGCUGGUGACUGGAGAGAGAGAGGCUAAGGCAUUGUAUACGUAUAAUGGUUGCACUCCUGGAGUCAUGCUAGUGCAGUUACAGCAUUAUAGAGGAACUUUAUAAUAGUAAAAUUAUUCCCAUCUGGAAAGAGCGAGCUACCCUAGUACAGUGCACCUCUACACUGCUAUAACUAUAUCCACAUAAGGGGUUAUAAAAAUCAUCCCCUAUCCAAAAUAAUAUUACUGGCCCAAAAACAGUCUGCCAGGCCUAAGUGCUUUAAACUCUUCAAAUGUAGGGACUGCAUGACUGCUCUGUUUAUAUAGCAUCUAGCACAACAGCCCAUGAUUGCUGGCCUUUACAUAACACUUUAAUGGAAACAAAUUCAUAAAAUAAUUAGAUACCUACACAUAGGAACCAAAGAGAAUCACCACAUUAGGACUGAUAUUGGGUAUGUACUGACGGUAUAAUCAGAACUACAUAAAGUGUGGGAGAAGACAUGGUGCAUGCCCCAUACACACAAUUUGCCUGGAGUAUUCCAAGGGGACCGCAGGGCUGUUAAGAUUCAGACAUACUUCAGCCCUCAAAUCAUAACAUUUCUGCAGCACAGGGGGUUGCUGUGAAACAUUAACAGUAUAAUGAAUAGGUUAAGCAUAAGUACCUGACCAAACAUCAUUUAUUCUGCCAUGCUGCAAGAAGCGUACCAGGGGCACUGAUCUGUAUAAAUGCUAGAACAAUCUCCUAUUCACAUUGCUGAAUAAUAUUAUUGUCCAAGGUUGAAGUCUGCUUUAGGGCCUGAAAACAUGUCCCAAUUCCCAUGGCUUGCUUUAUCUUCCCUCCCCCUUCAGCUAGUCAAAUGCUUAAAGUUCAAAUCCUGGGUAGAAGAACCAUAGUCAUAUGCUCGUCAUCAUGGUAGCAUUCAUUUGAGCCUCUUUUCUCUCCCCAAGAUUUAGUACCACUGCAGAAAGUCUCAACCUGAAAAAGGAGCAACUCCCCUUCAGUGAGUGCUUUAUAGUUUCCAGGGGUGUACUUGGUAGCUGUGUUGGUCUGAGACAAAAAGACAUACAAAAAACUAGAACUCUUGAUUCCAAAAUGAUAAUAAAAGGUAUCAUUUUGGAAUCAAGAGUUCUAGUUUUUGUAUGUCUUAUAGUUUCCAGCGCUCUCAUAUUUACCACGUUUCAUAGUUGGUAUUUUACUUAAAGCAGUGAUUCUCAAGCUUUUUAGACUUUGUUGGACUAAAAGCAGCCCCCAACCCCCAUCACUUUGGUGAACUGAGCAGCACCUCAUUUCAAAAACCAGUUUAUUACAAUGCUUACCUCCUUGCAGAGGGGCUAAGCAGUGUGGGCAGGGGAGGGGCCAGGCAGUGAGCCUGCACAUAUCUCCUCACACGUUGUAGUACCCUUCAAAAGACUGUGGCACCCCAGGAUGGCCUAGUUGAAAAUCACUGACUUACAAGCUUCAACUUCAGGAGAUCAGUGUAUAUGAGCACCUCAGCAUCCAUUUAAAAUAAAAGUUGUUCAGAAAAGCUUAAAAGUGUGCCCCAAGACAACCCCGAAGUCUUAAAAACCAGAACAGAUGCUCCUUCCCCACUCCCCUCCCAAUUUAUUAUUAUAUUCAUGUAUUAUAUUCAUCACAAGAUUUUGGGAACUUGCCCUAUGAUUUUUGAUAGUUUGUGACUGAUGAUACUGAUUUUUACUCUUAACUUUAAAUGGAUAGUUAGUUUUCCACUUUUUCUGAUUAAAAAAAAAAAACUUUAUACCCGUGUUGCACAACGCUGGAUUGUCUUAGCAUGUUUCAUAAAUCAAACAUAUUGUUAGGCAAGAGUUGAAGGAAUUACAGAAUCAAGCAUUUGUAAUCUUUUGAGUAAUUACAAUAGUGGUUCUCAGCCUAUCCGGCCCUGUGGGCUAAAGGAAUGGCAUGGGGCAUAGGGCAGUCUGCGGCCCCAUAGGGCCAGGAAUGGCAUGAGGCCAGCCUGCGGGCUGGAUCCCUCAUGCUGGAUCCAUCAGUCCACAGAGCUGACCUACUAUGCAGUUGAUGCACAAUGUCCAUCUGCAGAUAUAAUCUGGUGCACCAGCCUAGCCCCACAUGCCAGAUCUGGCCACAGUGUCACCCCACACACCAGUGUGAUCUGGCACGCAAGGCCAUGUCGUCCAGCUGCAGGGCUCCCCUAUGGGUCUAGACAUUUGGCAGCAGGGGAGUAGUGGCAGAGUUAAUUGCCACGACUUCCGAAACCUGCAGCAGUUAAUACUACACUGUUCCCCCAUCAGCAUAUUUCUGGACCUGAGCCCCAUGGGCUGGAUGAUGUGGCUCUAUGGGCCAAAUCUGUCCCAUAGUCCAUAGGCUGAGCACCACUGACUCAACAUUUCUUUGAAAGGUACCAUCUAUAACAUAAGAGCUCUACUUUCUGAAACUUUAAAUUUUAUUGGGCAACAAGCAAAUGAAAUGAUUAAAGUCUGUGUCCUAUGUAGCAUAACAGACCUCAACUGAGCUGGUUGAACAGUUUUCAUAAAUACGAAAUCGUCCAUUUUUUGCUAAAAUUUUGAAUUCAACUUUCUUUUAACCAGCAGCAGACCCAAUUUGCACACAAGACCCCCAGAAUUGUAUACAACAAACCCCAAACAACCUGUCCUUCACAGCUCCUGAGCUGCCUCAGGCCAGUACAAUGUAUACAGCAUCUCUUUGGGUUUUUUAUUUUCAUAUAUUUAUUGCCCUCCACUCCACUCCACUCCUGAGCUGUGCAGAUUUAGUGCACUGGCUUUUAUACAAAAUGCCGUUCAUGAGAACUAUGAUCUUGUGUUUGUGUGGAUUAUGUACCUCUUCAUUUGUACGCUCUAUGGAAGAGAGCUGCUCAUUAAAAUGUAAAUGAACUUGGGUUAUUAAAAUACAAAUAUUUUAUUCAUGUUUGCAAUCAGGGGUGUGUUUGUUUACAUCAAGUGAAAUUCUUUUUAUUCAAUUUAGGUUUCUAAAUAAAUCGGUGUCUAAAUAAUCCAGUGCUCGUCCUGUCAGACUAUGAAACCUCUUACAGACUCCUACACAUGUUUAAUCAACACUGCGGCUCUGAUGCCCUGAACUAGUGCAGAGACCUGCUGCCUUCACUGGGACUCUGUUGUCAAUAUUAUUGGAUUGGAGCAUACAUCACUCAACACCACAAUGAAGGCCAGAUUUCCUGGGAUUCUCCCAAGAGUUUUACAGGAUGGAGACAGGACUGGAAACAGAAAAUACAGCUGGGCUAGGUUACAGCAAUAACAAGUCUGUGUUUGCUCUGUGACUGCAUGUUAAACAACUAAGUUAUUUUAAAAUCUGCAUCAGUCAUCACUGACAUGUUGGAAGCUUCAGUUCAUCAACUUGAACAAUACAAACAAUUUUUAAUUUAGCUAUUAAUGCUUUGCACUUCUCAGGCUCUCUCUCCAAGGAUCUCAAAAUUCUUUAACAAGCAAUGAUUUACCUCAAAUCCCUAAGGUAAGGAUUUUUUUAUUUUUUUUUAAUAUUCACAGUUUUACAGAUGGAGGGCUAGAUCCUUUAGGGCUUCAUCAGGUACAACCCUUAUUUCACCAAAUGAAGCUUUGCUACAGUGAAGACUGCAGGAGCCAGCUGUAGCUAGGCUGAGAGUGAGCAGCAAAUCUCAGUCCUACACGUUUAUGAGAAUAUCCUUACCCUGGGGAAUGCAUUUGGUCAUUGAGCAGCUUCUAAGUAAACUCUUUGAGACGGGGGCCAUCUCUCAUUCUGGGUUUGCACAAUGCCUAGUGCAUUUUUGGCUACAGCAUCUACACUCUAUAGCAGGGGCGGGCAAUUGUUUUGGGGGGAGGGCCGCUUACUGAGUUUUGACAAGCCACCGAGGGCCACAUGACAGGCAGCCAGGGGCAGAUAAAUAUAAAUUUUCUACAUUUUUUUAGGGGCCCCACAGGCCAGAGAGACUGGCCUGGUGGGCCACAUUUUGCCCAUCCCUGCUUUAUAGGAAUACAGUACAGCAAUGCUAAUAAUAUUGUUGGCCUGGAUUAUUUUUUCAAAACAUUUUCUUUUGCCUUUGAAGCUUUUACCUAAAAGCAGGACCCAUGCAGUUGGUAACACUGUUGUCCCUCCUGCUUUCUUCUUGAGGCACACUAUAGCGUUUAAUGCCUUUGGGUUUUUUGAGACCAGUUAAUUGCAUCUUAAGUAGUAAAUCUGCCAGACAUUCAUGCAAUUGAUGGCACGAUAAAUGGAAUAAGCCACAGUUAUUACACAAAAUACGUGCAAUAACUUUGUGGCUGGUUCCCAGUGCACCUUAAAUUGAACAUGUGGUCACUCUCAGCCUAGGGAGUGCACCAGAGCCCUUCAACACUCCUGAUCCUGGACUCCACCUGUAUUGGCAAUCGGGCACAUUUGGGAUCUGAUCCCUGGUCCAACAAUUAUGGGUCAGAUACCAUUGUACCUUUAACUGAACAGUUGCCAGCAAUCUUACUAGAGCUCAUUAUGAUUUUUUGGGGGCACACACGUUUGUAGGAAGGGCUGGGGUGGAUCUUGCUGUAGACCUUUGUGGACUUCACAUCCAUCACAUGGUUGCCUGCAACUGUGAGGGCCUGAAUUUGACAAUGGAGAGUGAUCCCUUCUCAUCCUAUGUUCUUGAAUAUGAUGUGAGGCAGAGCCUAAUCCUCAGAUAUCAUAAACUGUCAUGGUUCAUAUAGCUACACUGGCUUUACUCCACAGGAGGAUCUUGCCCUGCCUCCACAAGUGGUAAGCACUACUGUCUAUAUGAAGUGUGCCGCAUUCAGCUUUGAUUAACCAUUAAGAAACUGGUUUGUUGCAAACUCUUUUUUUGACUGCAUUAUAUAACACUUAAAAGAUUUAUGCCUAAUUCCUAGUGGAAACAUUACAUUACCUGUGAAAGCCUGAUCAAACAGUGUUGCUCUUUAUGCCCUGUCACUGUUGAUCUGUGCAGUAAUAUAUCCUGCCUUUUUUAAUAUAAAUUCCCUUCCAAUAAACAGACCUAAUCCUGGGUAUUUAAAAUGAAAUACUGUUUGACAUAAGGGCUUCCCACCCCAUGCCCCUCUAUUUACACCUAUCACCUGGUCAACUGAAUAACUCUUUGUUUCCCGCUGUCUCCAUUUUUCUAAAGCGAUUCUGUACAAUUUCUGGCCUGUUUUUUGUAACCACUAUUUUUAUUCAUCCAGCUGAAGACUUGAUCGUUUGUUUAAUGCAACUCCCUGGAAAUAAAAACUUCGUUCAUUG